This is a long non-coding RNA of Parasteatoda tepidariorum (common house spider), 410 nucleotides long. NCBI's taxonomy places the organism in Eukaryota, Metazoa, Arthropoda, Arachnida, Araneae, Theridiidae. The record is from RefSeq and is a predicted model, not a curated record.
CUCAGAGGUAAGUAGAGGGGGAUGGAGAAGGUGGGAGUGAAAGUAGGAUGUCACACUCGCGAUGAGCGCCCACGUGUUUUAGAAGAGUUUAUCGCUUUCUUCCAUCUUUUUGUAGAUUCGGAUUUUUAUUUCCUAUUUAUUCUACCGUUUUAAAUAUAAGAUAUAUUUGACGAAUUGAAGUGAAGAGAAGAAAGAAACGGUGCCCAAAGUGAGAAAGAAAACGUAGCACGUGAGACUAGUGUAGCCGAAAAAUUCAACAGCUUGAAGAAGACCGUCCAUGUUUGAACGCUGCAGAUAAUAGAAAGAAGCGUAGAUGAAUACAAACACACCUGUAGAUCUGCAAAGAAAAGAAGAAAAGAAAAAUGGAAUUAAAUGUGAGAAAUAGAUAAGAAAUAAAAUAUAAAAAAGGA